GGCUUUGCCUGCUAUCUCUUACCCAUGUCUUUUGAGUACCUUACGUUUCCUCGGUGGGUUCGCCCACCGAUUGGACAAAUUUAAACCCUUUGCAGUUGAAAUCAGCGUCUGAAAAAACUUAAUAGUUACAACUUUCAACAACGGAUCUCUUGGUUCUGGCAUCGAUGAAGAACGCAGCGAAAUGCGAUAAGUAGUGUGAAUUGCAGAAUUCAGUGAAUCAUCGAAUCUUUGAACGCACAUUGCGCCCCUUGGUAUUCCAUGGGGCAUGCCUGUUCGAGCGUCAUUUGUACCUUCAAGCUCUGCUUGGUGUUGGGUGUUUGUCUCCUGUAGACUCGCCUUAAAACAAUUGGCAGCCGGCGUAUUGAUUUCGGAGCGCAGUACAUCUCGCGCUUUGCACUCAUAACGACGACAUCCAAAAGAACAUUUUUACACUCUUGACCUCGGAUCAGGUAGGGAUACCCGCUGAACUUAAGCAUAUCAAUAAGGCGGUGGAAGAACUUUAC
RNAcentral lists this small RNA (503 nucleotides) under Phoma herbarum. RNAcentral's name for it is "eukaryotic LSU rRNA". The stretch from base 130 to 283 matches the Rfam family "5.8S ribosomal RNA". Lineage: Eukaryota; Fungi; Ascomycota; Dothideomycetes; Pleosporales; Didymellaceae. The record is from RNAcentral.